Molecule: long non-coding RNA, 834 nt
Filed under: Homo sapiens (human)
Lineage: Eukaryota; Metazoa; Chordata; Mammalia; Primates; Hominidae
Description: HSALNT0342422
Source: RNAcentral
UGCUCUUGUUGCUCUGUUCUGCUUUUCAAUCCAUCUCCUCUCAUCACGACUAUAAAAUAGAAAAUAUUGGAAACAAACUACUGCUUAUAGAUGCUAUGACUGGAAAAUGCAAUAUUUUAUAAAAUAUUUAUAUGUACAUAACAUCCUAGAGGUUAAAAUGCUGUGUCAUUACUAACAUUAAACAAUGAUUUUUUUUUUUUUGAGACAGACUUUUGCUCUUGUCGCCCAGGCUGGAGUGCAAUGGCGUGAUUUUGGCUCAUUGCAACCUCUGCCUCCCAGGUUCAAGUGAGUCUCCUGCCUCAGCCUCCGGAGUAGCUGGAAUUACAGGUGCCUGUCACCAUGCCUGGCUACUUUUUCUAUUUUUAGUAGAGACAGGGUUUCGCCAUGUUGGCCAGGCUGGUCUCGCACUCCUGACCUCAGGUGAUCUGCCCGCCUCAGCCUCCCAAAGUGCUAGGAUUACAGGAAUGAGCCAGCACGCCCGGCCUAAACAGUGGUUCUAUUUAAUAUUAAUUUUGGUUAUUUUUUGCACAUUCAUGUCAAAAGCAUUUCUGCACACAUACAAAAAAAAAAUUAAUAAAACCUAGGUUAAGCAACCAGAAGAAAAAGAUUUUGCUGAACUGAGCUAUCUGACAUUAUAUUCCUUGGCAAUUUCUUAAGCAUAUCCUAACCAAUUAUUGAUCUGGGCCCACCUAGUUUAACUUGUGAGAAAGGAUUUCAAAAUAUUAAAAAAUUGUUUAAAAAAGAUGUACAAAGAGAAAAUAUGAAAGAAAAUUUACGUGACAAUUUUUACAUCAUCACAAAUACCAGAGAACCAAAUAAAUACCUUCCAUUAUU